Octopus sinensis (East Asian common octopus) is the source of this 818-nucleotide RNA transcript. RefSeq lists it as uncharacterized. Lineage: Eukaryota; Metazoa; Mollusca; Cephalopoda; Octopoda; Octopodidae. The transcript has 5 exons. The record is from RefSeq and is a predicted model, not a curated record.
AGAUUUCGAGAGAAGACUUUGGCAGAAACAGAACAUAUUGGUAACGGCAUCAGACAUUGGUAUUAUAGAUGAACAGAACAAAUAUAGGAAACAUGUUGAAGCUUUUCAUGGUUCUUUUGAUGUCUUUGAUGUUGACAAUCGAAGCAAAAGGAGGCGAAGCUAAUUUCAAGACAGAAAUGCAGCCCCAAAAAGCUAUUUCCGGAAAAUGUCUGAACUACAUCGAGAAACUCGAUUGCAACUUUUACAACUGUUUGGAGGAAAGAUUCCCUUGUGGCCCGACGGGUUUCAGUUUAGGCGCCAGUCUCAUAUAUUGCAAAAGAUCUGAGGGAUUCAAGUCACACUUAUCUAUGGAGGCAAGACAAAAUUAUGUCACUCUUCGGCAUUGUUUACUGAUGAGUGCAGAAAUUGUCUACAAACUGAACUCCACUACCUGUGCUAAUAUCGCUAAAAAGCUGUAUGAUGCAUAUGUGCCUUGUUUCUACGAAAGUAAUAUCUGCAAAAUUGGCUGGGAAAACCGCGAUGUAUAUCACGAUGUCUUCAAUAUAAAAUGAUCGAAAGAGCAAAGCCCUUACUCCCAGUUGAUAUGGAAAGACAUUACCAAAAUUGCUUCAAAAUGUCCGACAGAAAGCGGUAAAAAAUUUGCCAAAUGGCUCAAAGGAAUCGGCAAGCCUAAAAAUCUGAUUUAAAACUUAUUACAGUCCAAGUUCAACUGCGAGGUAUUUUAGACAAAAGAGCUCCUUCUGAAGUGUACCUUAGCUGAUACAUUUUGGCAACGCAGACUAUUGUUUUCCGUAAUAAUCGUGGAACACAAAAACAGA